GCUUACGGCCAUACCACUCUGAAAAAGCCUGAUCUCAUCUGACCUCGGAAGCAAAAGCAGAGUUGGGCCGGGUAGUACUUGGUUGGGAGACUGAAUGGGAAUACUAGGUGUAUGCUGUAAGCU
Ictalurus punctatus (channel catfish) is the source of this 123-nucleotide ribosomal RNA. The record is from Ensembl. Lineage: Eukaryota; Metazoa; Chordata; Actinopteri; Siluriformes; Ictaluridae.